This 440-nucleotide ribosomal RNA is filed under the name uncultured bacterium. Its description in RNAcentral is "partial 16S ribosomal RNA". It matches the Rfam family "Bacterial small subunit ribosomal RNA", at positions 338 to 795 of the family's 1533-position model. The record is from RNAcentral.
CCUACGGGAGGCUGCAGUGGGGAAUAUUGCACAAUGGGGGAAACCCUGAUGCAGCGACGCCGCGUGAGUGAAUAAGUAUCUCGGUAUGUAAAGCUCUAUCAGCAGGGAAGAAAAUGACGGUACCUGACUAAGAAGCCCCGGCUAACUACGGGCCAGCAGCCGCGGUCAUACGUAGGGGGCAAGCGUUAUCCGGAUUUACUGGGGGUAAAGGGAGCGUAAACGGCGCUGCAAGUCCGGAGUGAAAGCCCAUGGCUUAACCAUGGUACUGCUCUGGAAACUGUGGAGCUUGAGUGCGGGAGGGGCAGGCGGAAUGCCUAGUGUAGCGGUGAAAUGCGUAGAUAUUAGGCGGAACACCGGUGGCGAAGGCAGCCUGCUGGACCGUAACUGACGUUGAGGCACGAAAGCGUGGGGAGCGAACAGGAUUAGAUACCCUGGUAGUC